AGCGAUUCUCUUCGGAGAAGAGCGGCGGACGGGUGAGUAACGCGUGGGUAACCUGCCCUGUACACACGGAUAACAUACCGAAAGGUAUGCUAAUACGGGAUAAUAUGCUUUAGUCGCAUGGCUGAAGUAUCAAAGCUCCGGCGGUACAGGAUGGACCCGCGUCUGAUUAGCUAGUUGGUAAGGUAACGGCUUACCAAGGCGACGAUCAGUAGCCGACCUGAGAGGGUGAUCGGCCACAUUGGAACUGAGACACGGUCCAAACUCCUACGGGAGGCAGCAGUGGGGAAUAUUGCACAAUGGGCGAAAGCCUGAUGCAGCAACGCCGCGUGAGCGAUGAAGGCCUUCGGGUCGUAAAGCUCUGUCCUCAAGGAAGAUAAUGACGGUACUUGAGGAGGAAGCCCCGGCUAACUACAUGCCAGCAGCCGCGGUAAUACGUAGGGGGCUAGCGUUAUCCGGAAUUACUGGGCGUAAAGGGUGCGUAGGUGGUUUUUCAAGUCAGGAGUGAAAGGCUACGGCUCAACCGUAGUAAGCUCUUGAAACUGUAAAACUUGAGUGCAGGAGAGGAGAGUGGAAUUCCUAGUGUAGCGGUGAAAUGCGUAGAUAUUAGGAGGAACACCAGUUGCGAAGGCGGCUCUCUGGACUGUAACUGACACUGAGGCACGAAAGCGUGGGGAGCAAACAGGAUUAGAUACCCUGGUAGUCCACGCCGUAAACGAUGAGUACUAGCUGUCGGAGGUUACCCCCUUCGGUGGCGCAGCUAACGCAUUAAGUACUCCGCCUGGGAAGUACGCCCGCAAGAGU
Molecule: ribosomal RNA, 801 nt
Filed under: uncultured bacterium
Lineage: Bacteria
Description: bacterial SSU rRNA
Rfam family: Bacterial small subunit ribosomal RNA
Source: RNAcentral